This 509-nucleotide ribosomal RNA is filed under the name uncultured bacterium. RNAcentral describes it as "partial 16S ribosomal RNA". It matches the Rfam family "Bacterial small subunit ribosomal RNA", at positions 355 to 874 of the family's 1533-position model. The record is from RNAcentral.
UGGGGAAUAUUGCACAAUGGGCGAAAGCCUGAUGCAGCAACGCCGCGUGCGGGAUGACGGCCUUCGGGUUGUAAACCGCUUUCAGCAGGGACGAAGGUUUUCUGACGGUACCUGCAGAAGAAGCACCGGCUAACUACGUGCCAGCAGCCGCGGUGAUACGUAGGGUGCGAGCGUUGUCCGGAAUUAUUGGGCGUAAAGAGCUUGUAGGCGGUCCGUUGCGUCGGAAGUGAAAACUCAGGGCUUAACCCCUGAGCCUGCUUUCGAUACGGGCGGACUUGAGGGAUGUAGGGGAGAACGGAAUUCCUGGUGGAGCGGUGGAAUGCGCAGAUAUCAGGAGGAACACCAGUGGCGAAGGCGGUUCUCUGGACAUUUCCUGACGCUGAGAAGCGAAAGCGUGGGGAGCAAACAGGCUUAGAUACCCUGGUAGUCCACGCCGUAAACGGUGGCANUAGGUGUGGGACCCAUUCCACGGGUUCCGUGCCGUAGCUAACGCAUUAAGUGCCCCGCCU